CGGGGUCGACAGCCAGCGCUUGGCAGAGCACUUGACUAAAAGUCAAGGGGCCGCAGGUUCAAAUCCUGUCAUCCCGACCA
Molecule: transfer RNA, 80 nt
Filed under: Streptosporangium sp. 'caverna'
Lineage: Bacteria; Bacillati; Actinomycetota; Actinomycetes; Streptosporangiales; Streptosporangiaceae
Description: tRNA-Phe
Rfam family: tRNA (bases 18-69)
About the family: Transfer RNA (tRNA) molecules are approximately 80 nucleotides in length.
Source: RNAcentral